GCUGGACAUGGUAGUGUGUGUCUGUAACCCCAGAGACUCAGGAGGCUGAGGCAGGAGGAUCACAGGUUUAUAGCCACCCUGAGCAACUUAGUGAGACCCUGUCUCAA
RNAcentral lists this small RNA (107 nucleotides) under Marmota monax (woodchuck). The record is from RNAcentral. Lineage: Eukaryota; Metazoa; Chordata; Mammalia; Rodentia; Sciuridae.